UACGUAGGGCGCAAGCGUUGUCCGGAAUUAUUGGGCGUAAAGAGCUCGUAGGCGGCUUGGCAAGUCGGGUGUGAAAACUCCAGGCUCAACCUGGAGAUGCCACUCGAGACUGCUAUGGCUAGAGUCCGGUAGGGGACCACGGAAUUCCUGGUGUAGCGGUGAAAUGCGCAGAUAUCAGGAGGAACACCGGUGGCGAAGGCGGUGGUCUGGGCCGGCACUGACGCUGAGGAGCGAAAGCGUGGGGAGCAAACAGG
This 254-nucleotide ribosomal RNA is filed under the name uncultured bacterium. RNAcentral's name for it is "partial 16S ribosomal RNA". It matches the Rfam family "Bacterial small subunit ribosomal RNA", at positions 524 to 776 of the family's 1533-position model. The record is from RNAcentral.